This is a long non-coding RNA of Pangasianodon hypophthalmus (striped catfish), 7659 nucleotides long. RefSeq lists it as uncharacterized. Lineage: Eukaryota; Metazoa; Chordata; Actinopteri; Siluriformes; Pangasiidae. The record is from RefSeq and is a predicted model, not a curated record. The transcript is spliced from 4 exons.
AGAGAGCAGGAGACAGAGGCAGCGAGUGAGAGAAAGAAAGAGAAAGACAGACAGUGAGAGAAAGAGAACGAGGUGGAGAGAGAGACAGACAGAAAGAGUGAGAGACAGAGACAGGGAUCGAGAGAAAGAAAGAGAAAAAGAGACAGAGAGACAGAUAGAGAGAGAGAGAGUGAGAGAGAGAGAGGAAGAGACAGAGAGAGAGAGAAAGACAGAUAAAUAGUAGGUGACAUGGACACAGAUAGCGAGCCAAAGCAGGAGACAAAGAUAGACAGACAAACAGAUAGACAAACAGACAGACGUAGAGAGGGACACCAUCAGUAAGACGUUUAUUUGAAACACUCCGUUUCUCUCUUCAUCGUGUCGUUUUCCAUCUCUCACCUCGGUCAGCGGGGAUCAGCGGGACGUCCCGGGCGGUCGGAGACAGACACAUGAUGCUGUUCCCACUGACGUGACCUUCGACCUCUGCCAGGCUCCCAAAGGAACAGACUCACAGGGACGGCGUGCUCUGACAUGGCGAUGCUGUCUGGGUGGGCGGAGACUUUUACACACCGCCUGAUCUCGUCAGCGAAUCGGAACGGUUAGGAUCCAAAAUCUUCUGGACCUAAAACUGAAGACUGGACUGGCUGAUCCAAAGCUGUGUCCAUUAAAAUACUCACACCCACACACACACACACACACACACACAUACACACACGUGUUUCCUUUGAGGUCUCUAGCUGCAUUUCUGAUCCCAGCUGUGUAUUUCAGUUUUCCUGAUCCUGGAUGAUGGAUUUGUGGACCAUCAGCCAGUGUUCUCUCUCCGGCCUGAUGACUCCAGUCUGAUCCCGGAGCAGAGACGACGGGGAAUUGAUGAGGAAAUAUUAACACAACUCCGAGUAAAUGCCAGAUGAGCAUUUGGGAAACAUUGGGAAAGAAAUAGGCAAACAGGUGAAGAAUCACAAUGACACCAUGAAGAAACACAGAGAGAACCAUCAGCUGAGCGUAGGACUGUGGAGAACUCUGUGUGUGUGUGUGUGUGUGUGUGUGUGUGUGUGUUUAAUUAGCUUUCUGGUUUCUCUGCAGCUAGUUUCUGUCAGGAGUAAACGAGUUUUUCUGAGACGAGGGACAUCACAGAUGUGUUUCUGAAAGGUUUUGUAAAAAUUGUUUUCUCAAACUCAGACACGUCUACCCGGAUUCUGUCUCUGUCGACUCGCCGCACUCCCUCUGUCCCAUUUUCCCCUUCGCUUUCCUUAUAUGGUCUGUGUUUCCUGUUCUGUUUCUUGGUUGCUAUGGCAGUUAAUUAGUUAAUUAGUCACAGCUGUUUCUCAUUCCUGCCUCGGUUUCAUGUGUAUAUGUUGUAUGCGUUAAAGCUGCGGUGCCAAUUUGAGGGUUUUUUGGCUUUUCCACUUCCGGGUCUGGUCCUUAUUCCAGGUUCCGUCCUGACUCCACCCUGCCCUUGUCUUGACUCCGCCCUGGACUGUCCUGUCCUGACACCCGUCCUGACUCUGCCCUGCCCCACUCUGAUUCUGCCCUGCCCUGUCCUGACUCCGCUCUACCCUGUCCGACUCCAUCCUAUCACUGCCCACGCCAUGCCCUGUCCUGCCCCACCAAUUCCAUCCCGCUCUUUCCUGACUCUGCCCUCCCACAUCCUGACUCUGCCCUGCCCCGUCCUGACUCUACCCUUCCCUGACUCUACCCUGCCCCUUCCUGACUCUGCCCUUCCACAUCCUGAGUCUGCCCUGCCCCUUCCUGACUCUACCCUUCCCUGACUCUACCCUGCCCUGUCCUGACUCCUCCCUGUGCCACCAUUUUUUUGGUUUUCGUUGUUUAUUAUGGAUCACAAUACGAUGAUCUUUUCUGGUGAUCCAAAUUGUACUAAAGAGAUUUUUACCUGUAUAAAUAUCAUACCUAAAAAAUACAUAAUAACUGAUACCUUUGGAGUUACAGUGAGGUUUAUGGUUUUAAAAGACGUGCGCGCAUGUAUGUGUGUGUAUGUGAGUGUGUGUAUGUGUGUAUGUGAGUGUGUGGACAGACUCACUUGUUGUGAAGGACACACCAGCCGCAGUGUGGAUCACCUGAGCUUAAACACGCCUCACACCGGCUGUACUGCUCACAGUGUUCCACCGGCAUCUGGACCACCUACACACACACACACACAGGUGGAUGACGUAACGGCGGAUCGAUACACCCGAUCGAUGGGCCGAGGUGUGUUUUAUCUGAGCGGACACUGAAGACCGUAAUCAAGGCGACUGACCUCGACUCGAACACUAAACACUUUCCAACCUCAUUACACAGAACAGACAGAGUGCAUACUAAUGUUCACUAGCAGCACACAGGACCUCCACUGAUGAUUAAAGAGUAUGAAAAAAGAAUUAAAUCAAUAAAAAAAUUUACUGACUGAACUGAAAGGUACUGAUUAAAAAAUAUUAAAUAUGGUUUUAAGAUAUUUAAGGUAUAUUAAGAUAUAUUAGAAGAGGCACUGUUAUGCUGGAUAUCUGUACGGCUGUUUUUAAUCGUAACUUUCGCCAACAUAUAUAGCUAGAAAAGUCAAGACAUGAACUGUUUCCUAACUGCAGUCUUGAUUAUACAUUUACACCAAAUCAACAUUACUCAUUUUUAAUAAGUGAUAAAUAUGUGAAAUAAGGCUAAACUGCAAGUAAUAAUAUCUUGAAUAUGAGCAAAUUUGUCAAAUUUCUUAUUAUGAGAUUAUCUUAAAUCAAAUAUAAGAUUAUACAGAUUGUUUUUAGGUGCUUUUAGACAUUUCACGAUUUAAAUUUUCUUAUUUUAUUGACAGAUCAUUUUGCUUGUUUUUAGAAAUAAAUGCUUAAAAUUAAUAAAAUUUACUGCCAAUAGAACAAGACUAAUAUUUCUAGCUUGAAAUGAGUAAAAAUGUCUAGCAUUAGAUUUAAUAACCCCCUGUGUGUUGUGCUGUUAUAGUAAAAUAAUCAGUGAAGAGGAGUUACUGUUACCACCCCAAGCUGAUUAGUUUCCUCUAACAGCACAGCAUCUCCCUGCGUUUUAUUCCUCUUAUACCACAGCCAUUUACCAACGAUUACAAUUUUUAUUUAUUAAAACGAGCUCAUGAAUCAAGUUAGUUACUAUUCUCCUUUACGUCGUUCCCUCACCAGCCUCUCGCUCUUUUCUCUCUCUUCAAGUUAAUAAGACAAAAAAAAAAUCGCAGCUUGUUACGCAUGUUAUCGAGAAACCGCAAAGAAGCAUAAACUCCUCCGUCCUGAAGAUGUCGGAAAACUUUAAGUUCCAGCUUUACCUCUGACUGUUACAAAGCGCUGACACUGGAGACUCCUUCCAUACAUGUUAAAUACAUAAACAUCUCCUUACAGAAAACUUCACAUUAAUGAUUACACACGUUUUUAUUAUUAGUCUUAGUAGAAAGUGAGCUGCAUGUAAAUUUAAAUUUUCUCUACUAUUUAUCUACUAAAACAUUCAAUCUUUCAUGUUCCCUACUUUACACUCUCUCUCUCUCUCUCUCUCUCUCUCUCUCUCACUGAUGUAAUUUCCUGAUGUAAGCUAUAUUGAAUGAAAAGCGGAUUAAGGCCGAUAGUGAAAGUGAACUCCCUCCCCUCUCCGUCCCCCCUCAUCCUCGCUGGCCCAGUGGAUUAUCCUCCGUUCUUCCCAAAAUGGAUUUCUAUCUCCUUCCACUUUUCAUUGUUUACUUUAUUUUCUCUUCCAUUUUCUCUCUGGUGUGCUGCGCUGCGUUCCAUUAACCAAACGCUUUUAAAGGGGAGAAAAAUCAAAAUACAAAUCAGACGCACUCCAGAGAAAUAAACACACUCAUAUCUUCGAUUUAACUUAUUUAAUUCAUCAGUACUCACAGCAGUGUGUGUGUGUGUGCGUGUGUGUGUGUGUGUGUGUUUACUGCUACGAUUUUCCAUCAGAAGCCAGACAGUGAGAAUAUAAAUGAGAUGAUAAUUAAAGCAGGUGCCAUAAACACUCUAAACACACACACACACAUGGAGACAUUGAUGUAAGUGAAAGUAAACACUAACACCUCUUUAUUCCUCCCUCUUUAUACCACAUGAGGAGAUUCUCUAAAUCCCGAGGCAUGUGUUUAUUAUUUAUAAGCUGUUAUAGCUCCUGUAUACAUUAUUCAUAACAAUUAAUCGUGCAUUAGACUGACGAGGUGUAUAAAGAGAGCGCGUGUGGAGUGACAGGUAAAGAGUUAAACUCUACACCGUGCUCCGUUUCUGCAUUCCUCAUUUUCUCUCACUCAUACAUAAAGGUUUUAAGCAGCUAGCAUAUUCUCCAGACACUUAUUUUAUUUUAUUUAACACCAAAAAUCUAGCUACAUUGGAAACACCUAAAUUAGCCAGUAGGUUAGAGACGUAGCCAACCGAAAGGGAUGGAAAAGGAGGAGAAGUUAGCAUUAAAUGUUACGUAUAUAGUGAAUUACACCGUAUAAAAGGUGUCAGGUCAAGAAAAACAUCUGCCACAUCAACAGGACCUGUUUAUUCAUUUCUUUUCUAAGCAGACGGAGUUUAGAGAGGUGCAUCUUACACUCACUAAAUGUUUAGUGAGAUUAGAAAGUUGUGCUUCUUGAACUACACGCUGUAUCUUUCAGAAAUCAUCAGCAUCACAAUAACACAAUAACACAAUAAUCUCAUUUCACUGAUAAAAAAAGAAUUGAUUAUCUUACUAAUGCGCCUCGUAUGGCUGUGAUUUACGCCCUGUGUGUGCGGUGAGGAACGUUAGGCGAGUUUGAAGAAGGUUACAUGUUGACAACAACAUCAUAAAUUAUGCCGUUUCAUUUGUCAGAGAUGAAAUUAUUACAGAAUGGUGAAUAUUGUACAGAUUGUUAUGAGAGCUGAGGAUCAAAACAUCUACAGCAGGAGAAAAAAGCAAGAAGGUUUACAUGCCGAGCCUCGGUUUGAUGCGAUGUCUGAAACAUAGUAAUGCAGUGUAAUGAUGAUUCAAUUCAAUUUUAUUCGUAUAGCGCUUUUAACAAUAGACAUUGUCACAAUGCAGCUUUACAGAAAUAAAUGGAUUCAAAAAAUAUAUUGUAAAUAUGUGAAUUUAUCCCUAAUGAGUGAGUCAGAGGUGACGGUGGUGAGGAAAAACUCCCUGAGACGACAUGAGGAAGAAACCUUGAGAGGAACGAGGCUCAGAAGGGAACCAUCCUCAUCUGAGUGACACCCGAUAGUGCGAUUAUAAAUCACUUCUCUUCUAUUAUUGUGUACUAUAUGGACAAAUAGUGCAGUUGUGCAACCAGUAAAUUCAUCACAGUUUUCGCAAGAAGUCCAGAUCAAAUCUAUGAUACAGCUUUAUUGAUUCACAUUUUAUUUACUUCUUGAUUGAGUUCAUCUAAUAAUUUAUCUGCUUUACAUUCUUUAUUUUUUUCAAUCAAAUUUACUUUCUUAUUUUGACUUUUACAUUUAAUUGUACUUAUAUACUAUUUUGUGUUUUGCUUUUGUAUUGUCUGUUCAGCAUUUCAUGAUGCAAAGCUGAUUUGCUGUAGAAAUAAACGUCAUUUGAACUGAGUGUUAUUUAUUUCUCUGUAUUUUAAGAUAAUAAAGAUAACAGAACUCAAAUGUUUGUAAAGUGUGAAUACUCGGAAGUGCAGAGAGCCAAUCAGGUUGCAACCGUCAUCAUUCUGAAGCUUGUGGCCAGAAAAGUCUACAAGCAAUAUUAGGACAGAGUGACUGAUGCUACAUGUCCUAAGCCCUAAUGUCUGCAUGUAUAAAUAUUAAAACAGCCUUUACACGUGUAAGUAGGCAUCUGUUUUAUUGGGUGACGUCUCUACAGUAGGGAUUCUGUGUGGUGGGCUGCCCAUGUAGACCUCCAGGAUGAAAUCGGAUCACAUCAUCUAGUAGAAAACACAAAUGUACACGAGUCGCUGUCGCUGCGUUUCAGUGGUGGAGUGGUUAACAUCAGAAGAAGAAGGUCAAAUCCCAGCUAGAUCUUUGGAGUUGUGCUGGGGAACAGCCUGAGAUGGAAACGUAACGUUCUAGCAGCUGCACAAUGCCUUCCUGCUCUGGGGAGAAAUGAGCAUAAACCAUAUGUUCCCUCAUACCUUCAGUACCUUUAUCCGUAUCCACCUCACGCUCCUUCCUACUCCACCUCCUUCACACACUAUACACUUCUCCAUUAAACAUCUCACAGCUUGAUCCUAGCAGAGACAAGGUCAGAGUUUAACGAGCAACCUCACAAACACUUUGUCAGACUGCAAGAAAGAUAAGUAUUGAUUAGAGGAAAGACUCCCAGGUGAGAUGUCAAAGCUCCAUCAUUUUUUUAAUGUUCUGGCUCACACUUCUCCACUUUGUAAGCUGAAACACAAGUCUGAUGUGUAGCUGCUCAUCUCCUUCUGUAGUGUAGUGGUUAACACCACAGCUCCUGCUGUUAAACACAGGUUCAAAUCUGUGCUUUUGUGAGUUUCAUAAUCAAAAAAUGGUUAAAAAAUUAGAGUUCAAAAAAAGCUGUGUGCUUUGCGAGGGCCUGUGGCUUAAUUGGAAGGGAUUUGCUUCUAGGUUCUUAGUUUGCCAGGUCAAACCCCAGCCAGGUCUCAGGGCUAUGGUUGUUAAAGAUAGAGGAGCUACCUUCCCAUGUGGUGCAAGAUGAUUGGAUGGCAAGAGUGGAGAAGAAGGUGGAGUUGUAUCUAGGGAGAUGGAAAGCUAAACAAAGUGUGUUAUGGUGACUCUUUUCUUUUCCACUUUUUGGGUACUCAUAAUUAUCAACCAUCUUCCUACCACCCAGACUAGUCAGUUCCAAAACCUUCUACCAUCACACUGCUCCAAACAAACCCUUGAGUCAGAGAAAGAUUUAACCCAGAAACCUCACGUACAUGAGGCAAGGCUGAUACCACAAACCCUCCAACUCCAACUCACCUGCGUCUCAUAAUAACCUGAUUAGAUUAACUGGAUCAGCUCUGUUGGUCUGAGGCUGGAAGUGAAUUUUGGUUAGAAGAUGAACCUCGAGGAACUGGAUUAGUGAAGUCGUAGCUGUUUUAUGAAGUAAACGGACGUGAGAAAUGCUUCUUGAAAGUGUGCUGGAAAAAGUAACGGAAUAUAACUAUAGAUAACUAUAUAAUGAGAUAUGACUAGACAUAAAAAUAUCAGGCAACUCAAAUAAACAAUUGAAUAAAGAAACCUAUCGAUUCCACAACACACCUAACUAGCAUUGAGGUUUGUUGUUGUUGGUGUUGGACUUCACUCACAGCUUCAGCUUGGUGAGGAGUGAUGAAACUCACUCUAUGGGAGCUCAAAGAGGAUUUGCAUUCAGGUUUGUCAUUCGUAAGUCAAAAGUCCAAUAAGCAACUGUCCCACUCUGUCCUUUGGUGACGCAGUGGUUAACAUCAUGGGCUCUCAUGCUGGUGGUCACUGGUUCUAGUCUGAGCUUUUACUCAUUUCAGCAGGAAGAUGCAAAAGACAAAAGUGAAAAGUCCUAUAAGAAGAGGGUUUGGUGUGAGAUCCUGUAGCUCAACUGGCUGAGUGUUGCCUCUGGGUUCUGAGGCUGCUGGUUCAAGCACCAGCCAGGUCUCCAGGACAUGAUGGUUGAUGAGGUCAGUAGGCGCAGUUGGAUAGAGCAUGUAGCUUGGGUGGCUGGGGGUAACAAGGGGGCAGCUGGGCCCCCAAGAAGGUGCAAAAGGAGAAGAGGUGGUCAUAGUGUCUUGAAAUAGGUUUUUAAACAAGAAAGUUCAAUACUACCCCCCCCCACCACCACAACUCC